Molecule: ribosomal RNA, 366 nt
Filed under: uncultured eukaryote
Lineage: Eukaryota
Description: partial 18S ribosomal RNA
Rfam family: Eukaryotic small subunit ribosomal RNA
Source: RNAcentral
CAAUAGCGUAUAUUUAAGUUGUUGCAGUUAAAAAGCUCGUAGUCGGAUUUUGGCUGAGAACGAUCGGUCCGCCGUUAGGUGUGCACUGAUUGGUCUCAGCUUCCUGGUGAGGAGGUGUGCUUCACGGCCACUUAGUCACCGUGGUUACUUUGAAAAAAUUAGAGUGUUCAAAGCGGGCUUACGCUUGAAUAUAUUAGCAUGGAAUAAUAACAUAGGAUCUUUGUCCUAUUUUGUUGGUUUCUAGGGCUGAGAUAAUGAUUAAUAGGGAUAAUUGGGGGCAUCUGUAUCAACGCGUCAGAGGUGGAAUUCUUGGAUUGCGUUGCGACAAACUACUGCGAAAGCAUUUGCCAAGGAUGUUUUCAUUGA